This 270-nucleotide ribosomal RNA is filed under the name uncultured archaeon. Its description in RNAcentral is "partial 16S ribosomal RNA". It matches the Rfam family "Archaeal small subunit ribosomal RNA", at positions 477 to 747 of the family's 1478-position model. The record is from RNAcentral.
CAGCACCUCAAGUGGUCAGGAUGAUUAUUGGGCCUAGAGCAUCCGUAGCCGGCGCUGUAAGUUUUCGGUUAAAUCUGUACGCUCAACGUACAGGCUGCCGGGAAUACUGCAGCGCUAGGGAGUGGGAGAGGUAGACGGUACUCGGUAGGAAGGGGUAAAAUCCUUUGAUCUAUUGAUGACCACCUGUGGCGAAGGCGGUCUGCCAGAACACGUCCGACGGUGAGGGAUGAAAGCUGGGGGAGCAAACCGGAUUAGAUACCCGAGUAGUCC